RNAcentral lists this ribosomal RNA (403 nucleotides) under uncultured Bacillota bacterium. RNAcentral describes it as "bacterial SSU rRNA". It matches the Rfam family "Bacterial small subunit ribosomal RNA", at positions 378 to 774 of the family's 1533-position model. The record is from RNAcentral. Lineage: Bacteria; Bacillati; Bacillota.
GAAGUCUGAUGGAGCAACGCCGCGUGAGUGAUGAAGGUUUUCGGAUCGUAAAACUCUGUUGUAAGGGAAGAACCAGUACGUCAGGCAAUGGACGUACCUUGACGGUACUUAGGGAGGAAGCGCGGGUGAACUAGGUGCCAGCAGCCGCGGUAAUACGUAGGGGGCUAGCGUUAUCCGGAUUUACUGGGCGUAAAGGGUGCGUAGGUGGUUUCUUAAGUCAGGAAUGAAAGGCUACGGCUCAACCGUAGUAAGCUCUUGAAACUGGGAAACUUGAGUGCAGGAGAGGAAAGUGGAAUUCCUAGUGUAGCGGUGAAAUGCGUAGAUAUUAGGAGGAACACCAGUAGCGAAGGCGGCUUUCUGGACUGUAACUGACACUGAGGCACGAAAGCGUGGGGAGCAAACA